Molecule: long non-coding RNA, 793 nt
Filed under: Capra hircus (goat)
Lineage: Eukaryota; Metazoa; Chordata; Mammalia; Artiodactyla; Bovidae
Description: lncRNA (ENSCHIG00010007490.1)
Source: RNAcentral
GGUGAGAGAAUAAAACUCACAUUGAAUGCAAACUAACAAACCGCUAGUUAGGCUUCAGAGGCCUGGAGUACACACAGGCCUGUUAAAUGCUGACUUUCAAAAGACCUGUUACUAUGGCAAAGCUGUGUUCAUUACCAUUUACCAGUAAGGAAGGCUGAUAGUGUCUUGAUAAGGGAAGGGCAAGGUCUGUUUUAUUAAGACUUUGAGGCCUGGUUGAAGGCAGAUCAGAGAGGCCUGAUUAGGACUGAGAGAGGAUUGUGGUAUAACAGAUUAAGAUUGUGGGCUACAACCAUGUAAGGCCAAGCCUAGGAAUGUAAAUUUACACUGUCUGCUGAUGACUUGAGACUUGCCAGAAAUUUCUGCAAUGAAACAAAAGAUUUGCUACUUGCUUUUCCAAGAAAUGUACUCCAGUUUGGAAGCUGUAAUAACAAAAACAGAGUGAGGGCCUUCCCUACGAAAGUGAGAGGAAGAUUCCAGAGGAAGAGGCAGGAUCACCACACCCUGGAGAGCACCCCAGAUGGAGGAGUGGAAGAGGUGAUCGAUUCAGCUUUGCAAUUGCUGGCUGUGAGGUGCAGAGGAUGGGGCUAGCCUGGAAAAUGCAGAAUGAGAGCUUCUCUGGGAGGUGGGUUUGCACACGUGGGUUCAGGCUUCUUCAACAGCUGAAGCUACAAAAUAGCUGUAGUCAGCAGAGGAGAGAGUGAGGGCACAUGGUACAGAGGGGAAAAACCCUGAAGGAGACAGUGGUGGCUUUGCCGUAGCAUCCGUGGCUGAGCAAAACCAAAUCCUUACAAGG